GUCUAUGGCCAUACCACCCCGAAUGUGCCCAAUUUCAUCUGAUCUUGGAAGCUAAGCAGGGUCGGGCCUGGUUAGUACUUGGAUGGGAGACUUCCAUGGGAUUCUGUAGAAU
Molecule: ribosomal RNA, 112 nt
Filed under: Ochotona princeps (American pika)
Lineage: Eukaryota; Metazoa; Chordata; Mammalia; Lagomorpha; Ochotonidae
Source: RNAcentral